CUUUAACUUACUAUUACUGGUCCCAUGACUAUGUGCACGCUUGUCAUCUUUAUCAUUUCUCCCAACUGUGCACAUAUUGUAGACCCUGGAGGUUUUUGGAUUUGUUCCGAGUGGGGACUGCUGUGCUUCAAAGAAAAAGAAGUCGGCUUUCCCUUGAACUUUUUCCAGGUCUAUGUCAUUUUUCACAACCUCUUGAAUGUGUUUAAAUGUUGAAAUAAAGAAAAGUUAAUAAAUACAACUUUCAGCAACGGAUCUCUUGGCUCUCGCAUCGAUGAAGAACGCAGCGAAAUGCGAUAAGUAAUGUGAAUUGCAAAUUCAGUGAAUCAUCGAAUCUUUGAACGCAUCUUGCGCUCCUUGGUAUUCCGAGGAGCAUGCCUGUUUGAGUGUCAUUUAAACUCUCAAACCACAUCAUUCAUUUGACGUGGCUUUGGACGUGGGGGUUGCCGGCUUUCUUCUCAGAGAGGCCUGCUCCCCUGAAAAGCAUUAGUGGUAUCUGGAGUGGAAAACCGCUAGGUGUGAUAAUACUGUCUAUGCCUUUGGUUAUGCCACAAUGUGCUGCUUCCAACCGCACAUUUUUUGACAAACUUGACCUCAAAUCAGGUAGGACUACCCGCUGAACUUAAGCAUAUCAAUAANGCGGAGGA
Molecule: small RNA, 644 nt
Filed under: Inocybe sp. SB76
Lineage: Eukaryota; Fungi; Basidiomycota; Agaricomycetes; Agaricales; Inocybaceae
Description: eukaryotic LSU rRNA
Rfam family: 5.8S ribosomal RNA (bases 237-389)
Source: RNAcentral